This 227-nucleotide ribosomal RNA is filed under the name uncultured Streptococcaceae bacterium. RNAcentral describes it as "partial 16S ribosomal RNA". It matches the Rfam family "Bacterial small subunit ribosomal RNA", at positions 111 to 334 of the family's 1533-position model. Lineage: Bacteria; Bacillati; Bacillota; Bacilli; Lactobacillales; Streptococcaceae. The record is from RNAcentral.
UAACACGUGGAUAACCUACCUCAUAGCGGGGGAUAACUAUUGGAAACAUAGCUAAUACCGCAUAAGAGAGACUAACGCAUGUUAGUAAUUUAAAAGGGGCAAUUGCUCCACUAUGAGAUGGACCUGCGUUGUAUUAGCUAGUUGGUGAGGUAAAGGCUCACCAAGGCGACGAUACAUAGCCGACCUGAGAGGGUGAUCGGCCACACUGGGACUGAGACACGGCCCAG